This 489-nucleotide ribosomal RNA is filed under the name uncultured bacterium. Its description in RNAcentral is "partial 16S ribosomal RNA". It matches the Rfam family "Bacterial small subunit ribosomal RNA", at positions 28 to 505 of the family's 1533-position model. The record is from RNAcentral.
GAUGAGCGCUGGCUACAGGCUUAACACAUGCAAGUCGAGGGGAAACGCCGGGGAAGCUUGCUUCCCCGGGCGUCGACCGGCGCACGGGUGAGUAACGCGUAUCCAACCUGCCUCUGACUGAGGGAUAACCCGUCGAAAGUCGGCUUAAUACCUCAUGGCAUCGUCUGCGGGCAUCCAACGACGAGUAAAGAUUUCAUCGGCCAGAGAUGGGGAUGCGUCUGAUUAGCUUGUUGGCGGGGUAACGGCCCACCAAGGCGACGAUCAGUAGGGGUUCUGAGAGGAAGGUCCCCCACAUUGGAACUGGGACACGGUCCAAACUCCUACGGGAGGCAGCAGUGAGGAAUAUUGGUCGAUGGGCGAGAGCCUGAACCCGCCAAGUAGCGUGCAGGAUGACGGCCCUAUGGGUUGUAAACUGCUUUUAUGCGGGGAUAAAGUGAGGGACGUGUCCUUCAUUGCAGGUACCGCAUGAAUAAGGCCCGGCUAAUUCCG